AGUGAACGCUGGCGGUAGGCCUAACACAUGCAAGUCGAACGGCAGCACAGUAAGAGCUUGCUCUUACGGGUGGCGAGUGGCGGACGGGUGAGGAAUACAUCGGAAUCUACUUUUUCGUGGGGGAUAACGUAGGUAAACUUACGCUAAUACCGCAUACGCCCUACGGGUGAAAGCAUGGGAUCUUCGGACCUUGCGCGAUUGAAUGAGCCGAUGUCGGAUUAGCUAGUUGGCGGGGUAAAGGCCCACCAAGGCGACGAUCCGUAGCUGGUCUGAGAGGAUGAUAAGCGACACUGGAACUGAGACACGGUCCAGACUCCUACGGGAGGCAGCAGUGGGGAAUAUUGGACAAUGGGCGCAAGCAUGAUCCAGCCAUACCGAGUGGGUGAAGAAGGCCUUCGGGUUGUAAAGCCCUUUUGUUGGGAAAGAAAAGCAGCAGGUUAAUACCCCGCUGUUCUGACGGUACCCAAAGAAUAAGCACCGGCUAACUUCGUG
This 492-nucleotide ribosomal RNA is filed under the name uncultured bacterium. RNAcentral's name for it is "partial 16S ribosomal RNA". It matches the Rfam family "Bacterial small subunit ribosomal RNA", at positions 29 to 507 of the family's 1533-position model. The record is from RNAcentral.